UUUUUAGUAUAAAAGUGUAUCCCAUGCAAUAUUUGGGACAUGCUUAUACUAAAA
This 54-nucleotide microRNA precursor is filed under the name Equus asinus (donkey). Its description in RNAcentral is "mir-1302 microRNA precursor family". It matches the Rfam family "mir-1302 microRNA precursor family". The record is from Rfam by way of RNAcentral. RNAcentral also lists the same sequence under 1 other name. Lineage: Eukaryota; Metazoa; Chordata; Mammalia; Perissodactyla; Equidae.